CUUGCAUUAACAUUACACCUUUGUGCUGAUUAUUAAUGGCGUUUAGGCCAAUUGCAACCUGAACAAGGUGAACAUUACAGCUUUAUGCCUAUUAUUAAUGGCGUUGCUGGAGGUGGAGGUGGAGGGUCAUAACACAGCCUAACAAAGAUCUGUGAUUGUUACAUUAACCACUGAUGCAUUUAAUAUCCAGUUGCAUAUCUAUUUUAUCCGUAUCACAUCGAUCGUCAUACCACAAUUACCGUACCAUUUUGACUUAUCGCAAUCAACAUAUCGUCUGUACCCUACCGAUUAUCAUACCACAAUUACCAUGCCACAUGACAGAAUGCAACCUGAACAAGGUGCAUUUCUAAUACAGCUUUGUGCUGAUUGUUAAUGGCGUUGUAAGCCAAUUGCAACCUGAACAAGGUGCAUUAAUAUUGCAGCUCUGUGCUGAUUAUUAAUGGCAUUGUAAGCCAAUUGCAACCUAAACGAGGUGCAUUAACAUUACAGAUUUGUGCUGAUUAUUAAUGGCGUUGUAAGCCAAUUGCAACCUAAACGAGAUGCAUUAACAUUACAGCUUUGUGCUGAUUAUUAAUGGCGUUGUAAGCCAAUUGCAACCUGAACAAGGUGCACAUGCAACCUAAACAAGGUGUGCAUUACAGCAUUGAGCUGAUUGCACAAUUUUUUUUAUAAGCAACUUAGGAUUGUAGUCAGAUCUUAAGUUAUUUUUUACCCAAUACCCAGGUCUAAAGGUUCUUAAUGGUUGUUUAAUUUUAUUUAACUAAUUUUUGUAAUAUAUCUAAACGGGGGAAAUGAAAAGAAGUCAUAUUGCUGUUAAAAAAAAAAUUCUUGAAAAAAAACUGAGAAGUUUUUUAGUUUUCUUUUGUUCAAAAAGUGUGUCUUUUUUCUAUUUUCUUAAAAGAAAAAAAAUUUUUGCUUAUGCUUUUAUUUGUACAAAACUAAAUUUUUUUAAAAUUCAGUUUAGUUGCUUAUAAAAAGAAUGUGUAUUAACAUAAAGGUUUAAAUUCAAAACCUUACCAUACAUACAGCCUUAUCGCAAUCAACAUAUUGUCUGUACCGUCCCUGUCAUACCACGAUUACCGUGCUGUUUUGACUUAUCGCAAUCAAAAUCUCGUCUUUACCUUAUUGGUCAUCAUAACACAAUUACCAUACCAUUUCGACUUUUUGCAAUCAACAUAUUGCCUUACCGUACCGAUCAUCAUACCACAAUUACCAUUUCGACCUAAAGGAUUCAACAUAAAUCGUCAGUACCCAUCAUACCACAAUUACCAUACCGUUUUCACUUAUCGCAAUCAACGUAUCGUCUGUACCUUACCGAUCAUCAUAACACAAUUACCAUACCCUUUCGAUUUACCAGAUUCAACAUAUCGCCUGCACCCAUUAUACCACAAUUACCAUACCGUUUCGACUUAUCCCAAUCAACAUAUCGUUUUACCAUACCGAUCAUUGUACCACAAUUACCAUACCCUUUCUACUUACCAGAUUCAACAUAUUGUCUGUACCCAUUAUAUCACAAUUACUUAAACAAGGUACAUUAACAUUACAGCUUUGUGCUGAUUAUUAAUGGCGUUGUAGGCCAAUUGCAGCCUGAACAAGGUGCACAUGCAACCUGAACAAGGUGCAUUACAGCAUUGAGCUGAUUGCACAAUUUUUUUUAUAAGCAAAUUGGAUUUUGGUCAGAUCUCAUGUUAUUUUUUAGUCAAUAUCUAAGUCUUAUUUUUGUUAAACAUAUAUAUAAUAAACGGGAAAAAGAAACUAAGUCAUAUUUUGGUAAAAAAGAUAUUUCUUAAAAAUAAACUGAAGUGUGCAAAAAAAAUUAUUCUUGCUUGUGCUUAUA
Molecule: long non-coding RNA, 1837 nt
Organism: Hydractinia symbiolongicarpus
Lineage: Eukaryota; Metazoa; Cnidaria; Hydrozoa; Anthoathecata; Hydractiniidae
Exons: 2
Source: RefSeq, a predicted model, not a curated record